RNAcentral lists this ribosomal RNA (1203 nucleotides) under Triticum aestivum (bread wheat). Its description in RNAcentral is "partial small subunit ribosomal RNA". Lineage: Eukaryota; Viridiplantae; Streptophyta; Magnoliopsida; Poales; Poaceae. The record is from RNAcentral.
AUGGUCCUAGCCUUUGACCUGGCCUUUGUCGUUCAUCCGUCUCAUUAUCCUAGCCGUGAACCUCCCACCCCACACCUCUCCAAAGCUCAAAACUGCUCCGCCGGCCAAAUGGUCCCGCUUCGGCGCCUUCCGGCGCUGCCGCUAACGCGUGGCUCCACGCGCCGCCGCCUCCUCGCCACCGGGGCCUCACCGCUCCCAUGGCCGGGCCUUCACACCUGGCGCCGGGCCCCUCCCAGCGACCUCCGCUCGUGGGGCCCCAGCGGCCCCUGCGCCCCGAACACGGACGAGGCGGGCGCGCCAGAAGCCGGCGCCGGAGCCGGCCACGGCUCGUCGCUGGCCGAGAUGGGCGCCCUCGUGCUGUCCACCGCCGCCCCCCUCGGCAAGGCGCACCUCACCCACGCCGCCUUCUCCCGGUGGGCGGCAGGCGGGCUCCCCGUGGGCCUUGCGCGGGCCCCCGACCACCCCGCCAGGCCGGAAAAGCCCCUCGCGGUGACUCAGAAGGAGGUCCCCACGCACAAGGCGAUGGGGGUGCCGCUAAACGCGUACAUGCUCCACAACCUGGCGCACGUGGAGCUCAAUGCCAUCGACCUUGCCUGGGAUACUGUGGUGCGGUUCUCGCCGCUCCGGGACACCCUGGGAGAUGGCUUCUUUGCCGAUUUUGCGCGUGUGGCCGACGACGAGAGCCGGCAUUUUCGGUGGUAUUCACAGCGGCUUGCCGAGCUUGGGUUCAGAUAUGGCGAUAUGCCUGUCCACAAUCUUCUGUGGAGGGAGUGUGCAAAAUCCUCAAGUGAUGUUUCUGCACGGAUGGCUGUUAUACCUCUAGUACAGGAAGCUAGAGGCCUUGAUGCUGGACCAAGACUAGUCCAGAAGUUAAUUGGCUUUGCGGAUCAUAGAUCUGCCGACAUUGUGGCAAAAGUAGCAGAGGAAGAGCUUGCACAUGUUUCUGUAGGUUUAUAUUGGUUCCUGAAAGUAUGCGAAAUGAUGGGCCGUGUCCCUGGUGCUGCUUUUAGAGACUUGAUAAAGGAGCAUGAUGUUGUAAUGAGGGGUCCAUUUAAUUACCAAUCUCGUGAUGAAGCUGGUAUACCUCGAGAAUGGUACGAUGAGACGCUUAAACCUGAAGUUGCAAGCAACCUUUCAGAGGUGCAUGAUAGGCUAGCAUGUGUUGUUGAGAUGGAGAGAGAGAAUGCUAGUUUGAAUGGCUAA